RNAcentral lists this long non-coding RNA (375 nucleotides) under Trifolium pratense (red clover). RNAcentral describes it as "long non-coding RNA (TPRA_LNC013220)". Lineage: Eukaryota; Viridiplantae; Streptophyta; Magnoliopsida; Fabales; Fabaceae. The record is from RNAcentral.
UAGGGAUGAGAAUAAGUCAUCAAUUAUUAUAUUGAGUUGUCUUAUUUAUGUUAGUCAAUUAUGCAAGUCUAGUGUAGCAGCUUGAAUAAAGGGUCCAUGUUUGGAAUACAAUGCAUAUUAGAUGGACCUAACAAUAGAUACAUUCAUUACAUACAUAUUUACUAGAAAAAGGUUUCUUCAUCUUUGCAUUCUAUGAACAUAACUAUAGAUACAUUCAUUAAUCAUUACAUAUUUAAUUUAAUCCGAUCUAGCUAAUGCCACUUUGUAACACUCGAACGAACUCCCCCUCGCGAUCAGCUCCUUCUCCUAUUACGAUAUACCAGCUACAAUUACAGUUAUAAGUUAUCAUCAAGAAUGGUCGACAUCAGCAGCCCU